AGAGUUUGAUCCUGGCUCAGGACGAACGCUGGCGGCGCGCCUAACACAUGCAAGUCGAACGGAGCUUAGAGAGCUUGCUUUUUAAGCUUAGUGGCGAACGGGUGAGUAACGCGUGAGUAACCUGCCCUAGAGUGGGGGACAACAGUUGGAAACGACUGCUAAUACCGCAUAAGCCCACGGUACCGCAUGGCACUGAGGGAAAAGGAUUUAUUCGCUUUAGGAUGGACUCGCGUCCAAUUAGCUAGUUGGUGAGGUAACGGCCCACCAAGGCGACGAUUGGUAGCCGGACUGAGAGGUUGAACGGCCACAUUGGGACUGAGACACGGCCCAGACUCCUACGGGAGGCAGCAGUGGGGGAUAUUGCACAAUGGGGGAAACCCUGAUGCAGCGACGCCGCGUGGAGGAAGAAGGUUUUCGGAUUGUAAACUCCUGUCGUUAGGGACGAUAAUGACGGUACCUAACAAGAAAGCACCGGCUAACUACGUGCCAGCAGCCGCGGUAAAACGUAGGGUGCAAGCGUUGUCCGGAAUUACUGGGUGUAAAGGGAGCGCAGGCGGGAAGACAAGUUGGAAGUGAAAACCAUGGGCUCAACCCAUGAAUUGCUUUCAAAACUGUUUUUCUUGAGUAGUGCAGAGGUAGAUGGAAUUCCCGGUGUAGCGGUGGAAUGCGUAGAUAUCGGGAGGAACACCAGUGGCGAAGGCGGUCUACUGGGCACCAACUGACGCUGAGGCUCGAAAGCAUGGGUAGCAAACAGGAUUAGAUACCCUGGUAGUCCAUGCCGUAAACGAUGAUUACUAGGUGUUGGGGGAUUGACCCCCUCAGUGCCGCAGUUAACACAAUAAGUAAUCCACCUGGGGAGUACGACCGCAAGGUUGAAACUCAAAGGAAUUGACGGGGGCCCGCACAAGCAGUGGAGUAUGUGGUUUAAUUCGAAGCAACGCGAAGAACCUUACCAGGUCUUGACAUCCGAUGCUUAACACAGAGAUGUGUGAAAUCCUUCGGGACUUCGAGACAGGUGGUGCAUGGUUGUCGUCAACUCCGUGCCGGGAAAUGUUGGGUUAAGUCCCGCAACGAGGGCAACCCUUAUUGCCAGUUACUACGUUAAGAGGACUCUGGCGAGAAUUCCUUUGACAAAACGGAGGGAGGUGGGGAUGACUCCAAAUACUCUUGCCCUUUAAGACCGGGGGUAACAACGUACACAAAAGGGGGUUAACAAAAGGGAAGCAGCCCGCGGGUUGGACAAAACUCAAAAACACGUCUCAGUUCAGAUUGCAGGCUGCAACUCGCCUGCAUGAAGUCGGAAUUGCUAGUAAUCGCGGAUCAGCAUGCCGCGGUGAAUACGUUCCCGGGCCUUGUACACACCGCCCGUC
This 1370-nucleotide ribosomal RNA is filed under the name uncultured bacterium. Its description in RNAcentral is "bacterial SSU rRNA". It matches the Rfam family "Bacterial small subunit ribosomal RNA". The record is from RNAcentral.